Molecule: ribosomal RNA, 460 nt
Filed under: uncultured bacterium
Lineage: Bacteria
Description: partial 16S ribosomal RNA
Rfam family: Bacterial small subunit ribosomal RNA
Source: RNAcentral
CCUACGGGCGGCAGCAGUGAGGAAUAUUGGUCAAUGGACGCAAGUCUGAACCAGCCAUGCCGCGUGCAGGAAGAAGGCUCUAUGAGUGGUAAACUGCUUUUUUACGAGGGUAAAUCCCGAGACGUGUAUCGGGUUGGAAGUAGCUUACGAAUAAGGAUCGGCUACCUCCGUGCCAGCAGCCGCGGUAAUACGGAGGAUUCAAGCGUUAUCCGGAUUUAUUGGGUUUAAUGGGUGCGUAGGCGGUUCGAUAAGUUAGAGGUGAAAUCCCUGGGCUCAACACCGGCACUGCCUUUGAUACUGUCGGGCUAGAGUUUAGUUGCGGUAGGCGGAAUGUAUGGUGUAGCGGUGAAAUGCAUAGAGAUCAUACAGAACACCGAUUGCGAAGGCAGCUUACCAAACUACGACUGACGUUGAGGCACGAAAGCGUGGGGAGCAAACAGGAUUAGAUACCCUGGUAGUC